CNANGANGGGUGCANGCGUUAUCNGGAAUUACUUGGGCGUAAAGCGCGCGUAGGUGGUUGAAUAAGUUGGAUGUGAAAUCCCCGGGCUUAACCUGGGUCGGUCAUUCAAAACUGUUCAACUAGAGUAUGGUAGAGGGUAGUGGAAUUUCUAGUGUAGCGGUGAAAUGCGUAGAUAUUAGAAGGAACACCAGUGGCGAAGGCGACUGCCUGGACUGAUACUGACACUGAGGUGCGAAAGCGUGGGUAGCGAACAGGAUUAGAUACCCUGGUAGUCCACGCCGUAAACGAUGACAACUAGACGUUGGGUUCCUUAGAGAACUUAGUGUCGAAGCUAACGCGUUAAGUUGUCCGCCUGGGGAGUACGGUCGCAAGAUUAAAACUCAAAGAAAUUGACGGGGGCCCGCACAAGCGGUGGAGCAUGUGGUUUAAUUCGAUGCAACGCGAAGAACCUUACCAUCCCUUGACAUCCAGAGAAUCUGUUAGAGAUAGUAGAGUGCCUUCGGGAACUCUGAGACAGGUGCUGCAUGGCUGUCGUCAGCUCGUGUCGUGAGAUGUUGGGUUAAGUCCCGCAACGAGCGCAACCCUUAUCUUUAGUUUGCUAACAUUCAGUUGAGGACUCUAAAGAGACUGCCGGUGACAAACCGGAGGAAGGUGGGGA
RNAcentral lists this ribosomal RNA (658 nucleotides) under uncultured bacterium. RNAcentral describes it as "bacterial SSU rRNA". It matches the Rfam family "Bacterial small subunit ribosomal RNA", at positions 523 to 1179 of the family's 1533-position model. The record is from RNAcentral.